This 2989-nucleotide long non-coding RNA is filed under the name Triticum aestivum (bread wheat). RNAcentral's name for it is "long non-coding RNA (TAES_LNC010409)". Lineage: Eukaryota; Viridiplantae; Streptophyta; Magnoliopsida; Poales; Poaceae. The record is from RNAcentral.
CCACCGAACCACACCUCCUAUCCCCUGGCUACCCCUCCCACCUCCAGAGCUCUCGCCACGAGCUGUAUCCGGUGGCCGCCACCCCUCAUCGCCCUUGGCUAGGCUUCCCUCAAUCUCCCACGGUCCCACCGCCCCCAGCGCUCCUCCCGGCGGCGGAUCCGGGCCGGCAACUAAUCCAUCCUCCCCUGCGACUGAUUGCCUCCAGUACCCUCCCCUAUUUUCUUUGUAUCGCCGACCAUGGCGCCCAUGGCGACCAAGAGGCUGGAAGGGGUCUCGUGGACCUGAGAGUGCGAGAGGAGCAGCAGCGCCGGCGGUGACGCCCCAGGUAGACUUUAGUGUGGUGCUCUGCUCUAUGGAUUCCUCUUCCAUGGAGUUCAUAGUUUUUGCAUUUUUGUUUCAGAUUUUUGAUGUGCAAAAAUACAAUGCAGUGCAGUUCUUUCUUCUCUUUGAGUUUUGGUUCUCUGGAUGAUGUUUGCAUCCAGGUUGUAAAAAUUUGCCUGCGUCAAGUGCAAUUCAGAACUUACAAGUUCGGCUGUCAGUUUCCUGUGCAGUUCAUUACAGUAGAAUUUUUUUGUGUUCAAUUCAGUUAUCUUUGCUUUGCUCUAUGUCGUGAGGCUGCAAUCCCGCUAUCUCCUGCUUACUGGCGUCGCCCCAGUCGAUCCAGGUAGUUGGGUGGGGAUUGGGUGUGUCACCGGGCAUGCUGAUGACGAGUUCCCGCCGUGAGCUGGUGCUCUGCUCCUCAUUGCUGGUGGUCGUGCUACAGCGACGUGCAGUUCGCCGGGCUGUGUCGUGCGGUUCGCCGGGCCGUGGACUGUGGUUUACCGGCCGGCAGCCUACGGUUCGCCGGGCAGUGCGUGUUUUGCUUUGGCUAGGAAUUGGCUCACCAGAUCACUCUUUCAACAAGAGCUAGCUAGACGUGCAUGACUUUCAUGCGUUUAUGUUUCGGGCAGCAGAAUUAAUGAGCACUCACAAAGGACUAGCCAUCAAGGUGUUUUUCUGCGCAUAUGUCGUUCAAGUGGAAGAUAUGGGGCACUGUGCCUUUUCCAACUCCUUCCGAUCUACUGAUCAAGUCAAGAGAAUAAGAGCAGUGGAGAUUACAUUUUCGUGCUAAACUUUUCGGUCAAUGCCUAAUAUGUGUGCUUUUCUUCCUAAUGGUGUCAUGCUUCGAUUUGAUUUCUUACAUGAGGAAGUGAAUAGCAGUGAUUAUUGCACAUGCUUAUACAUUCAAAUGGAUUGCUAGGUUAAAUGGUAUAGCGUUCAAAGAUCUUAGUUUUUCUGAAAGGUCUAAUAAUUAGUCAGUUUACUAAACUGCUGAACUGCUUCUUUGGAUCUGAAUUUGCUGAAUUGUCGAACGACCUAAGAAUUAUUCAGUUUACUAAACUGCUAAACUGCUUCUUUGGGUCUGAAUUUUCUGAAUUGCUUCUUUGUCUCUAAAUUGCUAGGUACCCUGGAAUAUAUGGAAGCGCGGAAACUCCAAGCUCUUCCGGGAUGUUUUUGAGGAAUUGCACAUUACUACUAGCAAGAUUGAUGAUGAUCUUACGUUGUAGUCCAACAGGUAUUCAAAUGAAAUUAAGAAAGACAUCCUUAGAGGCUGGAGCACUUCAUUUGUGUGUAUAAAGUGUUUCAGGCCAGUGUAAGCCUGUUGUAGUCCCUGUAAUACAAAGGUAGUAAGUGACGCAUCGCCCUCUCUGAACUGAAUAACUAUGGCAUCAAUGAGAUGCUUCGACCCAUGCUGGCCGUCGUUCCCCACCACUGAGGUUUCGUUUCCCCCUUCUUUCCUUCUUCAAAUCUUCAGUCCAAUUGUAUGAACAGAAACAAACCUUCUCUUAUGUUUGUAGAUGAAGAAGGAACAGCUGGCUUACCAUUCACUUAAGCAUCCAGAGCCUCGGCGCCCAACUAUUGAAGAAGGCUCAUACUGAUGGAGUUGUCCCAAACUAGGCACAUACCUAGCCCCUUUCCGCUCCUGGAGUCCUUGCAUGCCUUUAAAGCAUGUAAUCUUAGUCAUUGGACAUUUUAUAUGGUUGAUUCUAAAUUCGUGUGGUGGUUGCAGAAUGUCAUAGCGCAUGUGUUGCCGUUGUCUCUCUCAAUAAGUCCCUCGCUGGUGGUUACACACACGCGCCAACGAACUGCUCGGCCAGGGGAGAAAACAGAGAGUGGUGUUCGGUUAGAAUAGAGGAGGACACACGGUUAGGUUUCAGGAACCAAUGCCUUCGUAUUUUUUUCUCUUUCAACUGAGUGCUGGCUAAGUAAGCACAACCCUCUUAUUACAAGGUUAGAUCAACUCAACACAAGCAAUAACAACUUGAAAUGAGCUAGGUUGGCCAAGUCUAGACAUUAUGGAUUUGGUAAUGUAUAUAUAUUGGAAAAUGAUAGCAUGGUCUUUAUAUGGUUGUUUUUUGUUAGCAACACUGUAAGGUCUUCCUCGGCAGUGCAUAUACUAAUGAUUACUGCUCAAGCAUGUAGAUGAUACAUUUUUGGCAACUGGAUCAAUAACCAUGUCAUUACUAUGCAAAAAGGAUGUACAUUCAUAGACUAAUACGCCUACAGUGGUUUGGAUUCUUAUGCAUUUAUUACCCCUCCGCACAUAUAACUUGUGCCUCUUGCUUCUUAAGAUUAUUGCCUGGUAUGGUGUCCAAUAAAUUCAGAGAUUGCCUCUGCAGUGGUCUGUAGUUACAAAGAUGGUAAUUUAGAAAAACAUAGAUGAUGACUAGCUAUUGAGAAGCAUAAUAAUGUUUUUAUUUCUUCUUCAUGACAAUCAAGGUCAAACAAAUAUUUUCAUGUUUAUCAGAAUGAAAUAAAAUUGAUGGACAGUACCACUCCAUUGAUAACUAGAGCUAGCAGUGUGUUCACUUAGAUGGUUACAUUUUCUUUUUAGAAGAAUGUACAAUGCUAGAAUUAGUCUGUGCAUUAGAAUUAUAAUCGUUAGUGAUGAAUUACCUCAUAAAGUGUUAGAUUAUUAUCUAAGAAUCGUACAUCAACUAGACGCGAG